GACUUGCUCCUUGGGUAAGACACAGAAUGGAGCUGCGCCGCACUGGGCUCCUUGAAGGAAGACCUUUGUGUGGCCAGACGCUAACGCAGGGUUUCAGCUUGGACCUCUGCUGCACACCAAGGAGCAGGGAAACCGGAAGGAGCCGAGACCAUCCCAAGGGAAGCAUCCUCCAAGGUCAAACUGAAAGAACUAGGGGGAAACAGCAACAAGUAGCAGGAUUCA
RNAcentral lists this long non-coding RNA (222 nucleotides) under Chinchilla lanigera (long-tailed chinchilla). RNAcentral describes it as "lncRNA (ENSCLAG00000024848.1)". The record is from RNAcentral. Lineage: Eukaryota; Metazoa; Chordata; Mammalia; Rodentia; Chinchillidae.